RNAcentral lists this ribosomal RNA (253 nucleotides) under uncultured bacterium. RNAcentral describes it as "partial 16S ribosomal RNA". It matches the Rfam family "Bacterial small subunit ribosomal RNA", at positions 524 to 776 of the family's 1533-position model. The record is from RNAcentral.
UACGUAGGUGGCAAGCGUUGUCCGGAUUUACUGGGCGUAAAGAGCGCGCAGGCGGUCGUUCAAGUCGCGUGUGAAAGCCCCCGGCUCAACUGGGGAGGGUCACGCGAUACUGAUCGACUCGAAGGCAGGAGAGGGUAGUGGAAUUCCCGGUGUAGUGGUGAAAUGCGUAGAUAUCGGGAGGAACACCAGUGGCGAAGGCGACUCCCUGGCCUGUUCUUGACGCUGAGGCGCGAAAGCGAGGGGAGCAAACGGG